RNAcentral lists this ribosomal RNA (151 nucleotides) under uncultured bacterium. RNAcentral's name for it is "partial 16S ribosomal RNA". It matches the Rfam family "Bacterial small subunit ribosomal RNA", at positions 1382 to 1532 of the family's 1533-position model. The record is from RNAcentral.
UGUACACACCGCCCGUCACACCAUGAGAGCUGGCAAUACCCGAAGUCCGUGAGGUAACCGUAAGGAGCCAGCGGCCGAAGGUAGGGUUAGUGAUUGGGGUGAAGUCGUAACAAGGUAGCCGUAGGAGAACCUGCGGCUGGAUCACCUCCUU